Molecule: non-coding RNA, 242 nt
Organism: Pelobates cultripes (western spadefoot toad)
Lineage: Eukaryota; Metazoa; Chordata; Amphibia; Anura; Pelobatidae
Source: the annotation of a GenBank genome assembly
CUUUUGUGUUGCUGCAAGUCGAUAAAGGAUGAGCUGAUUGUGAAUGUGAGCAGUGUUUUACAUUUUGCUCUCUCCAUGUUUAUUUGGAUGUUAUGCUUUAUGUGUUGAGAUCUAUUAGACUUUUCUAUCUUCUUAUAUCUGCACUACAGGACACUUACCAGAUAUAUGUCUUGUAGGCAAUAAUUCGCAUAAAUAACUUAGAACACACAAACACAGACACAGUUUAUUUUAUUUCAAAUGGC